Pyrus x bretschneideri (Chinese white pear) is the source of this 976-nucleotide long non-coding RNA. RefSeq lists it as uncharacterized. NCBI's taxonomy places the organism in Eukaryota, Viridiplantae, Streptophyta, Magnoliopsida, Rosales, Rosaceae. The transcript is spliced from 3 exons. The record is from RefSeq and is a predicted model, not a curated record.
UCUCUAAUUGGGUUAAAGAAUUCCUGCUGUUUCCCCCUUUUUCCGUUUGGGAUUUCUGGGUUGUGGCUGAGUUUUUGGUCGAUUUCCAUCCCUUUGGGCGCGGCCUAUCUUCAGAUCUCUGCAGAAUCAAUCUUAUAUAGCUAAGAAACUCCAGACUUAGAGAGAGCAGUUGCAGUAGCUGUGACUACUAUUUGUUUCUCUCUUGAAAAAGAGAUGGGAAAGAAGAUAUGAACAGAGAAAAAAAGGAGUUGAAAGGGAAAGAGAGGGGAGACAGAGAUGGGGAAGUUGGAAAGAAGAAAAAUGUUUUCGAAAUAGGCGGAGAGGGUGAGGAAAAUGUGGUUUCCUCCUAGCCUAACCUUUUAUUUUGUUGGGAAAUUGAUUGAGAUGAUUCAUUUUUUACGAUUCGGUUUCACCCUUUUUUUUUUUUUUUUUUUUCAAUUAUUAUUAUUAUUAUUAUUUUAUUUUAUGAAAUGCUGUUCAGUGAAUUUAUUUUCUAGGCGAUUCAAUUACCCAAAUUGCCCAAAUAUAGAUAUACUGUUUGAGAAGGCAAUUAAAAAUUUACCCAUUUCUAGAAUAUGACGAAAAAUAGAUUGUAUAUGGUUUGUUUUAUAAGAAAGUAUAUUACCAUCAUCAUCCUACUCUUUGGAAAAUUUAAUUGCAAGCUAAGUGUGAGAUUAGGUAUUCGGAAUAGCAAUGUUGUAUAAAGAAGUCACUUAUCCAUAGAAUUUUUGUAAGGUAAAAGAUGCUUAUUGGGGUCAAGAGAUUUUAAUAGUUCUUUUUACAGAUUAUUUGUGGUAGAUAUACUGUAUUGUUAUAGUUUAAGAAGAACUAAAAUGUGUUAGAUCAUUUGGUUCUUGAUAGUUUAAUUUAAGUUUUCAUUUCUUUUCCCAAUUAUGCAAUGCUUUCAACGAAAAAAAGAAAGAUCAUUAUAAUACUAUUUCUGUUUUGUGUAUCUCAUUUGUGACUGCAUUUUCCA